UGUUAGGAUUGUAGCAUCUAAGUACUGUACAUGGUGACAGUGUCACUUCUGCAAAUACUUUUUAUCUUCUUUUUCAACAGAUGGUACUUCAUCUGUGUGUUUCUGCUGAUGAUCAAAGGGACUCAGGGUGUUACUGGAGACUCUGUGGUCUUAACAUGUAAUUGCAGUUACAUUAAGCAUCAAGACCAAAUUCAAAAUAUUACUGUACACUGGAGAGACAGUAAUGGCAAGACUGUGUAUAGCAUAAUUAGGGGCAAAGGAACAGAUGCAGAACAAGAUCCAGCAUACAGGAACAGAGUCAAAAUUUUCCCCAAGGAUAAUGUGAAAUGGAAAUGUUCCAUCAAAAUCAACAAUUUUCAACUCACUGAUGAAGGAAUUUACACCUUUUAUAUCACAGAGCCUACAAGUCUACAAUGUUCUGGAAGCAUAGAAGUACAAGUGAAAGAUAGGCCAGGAGGAAGAGGGAACAAUGGGAAACCAGAGUGGAUUGUUUAUUUAUUGUGUAGCAUUUUAGUUGUGAUUGUUAUAUCUGUUUAAUAUUUGAUUGUAUAUAGUGUUAAGUGUUUUUUUCAGAGCCUACCCCAUAGAUGUUUAAUUGGCUGUCUUCCUCCAACUGGUCCUUGAGAAAAACACUUAUUAUAAAGUCCUAAUGUCCAACUUUAAUUGCUGUUCUAUUGCACGUUGCCUAGUAGGAAGUUGAAAAUUCCAACUUUCCGAGUUGAAUGGAAUGCAGCACAAAUCCUGAUUAAAUUCUGCUGUAUCUUUGGCCCCAUUUACAUCUGGCAUUACAAUGCGUUUUUGGUGAUCAGAUCGCUAUCAGAUUGCACUUGACAACUUUAAAUGUCAGGUGUAAAUGAACCCCAGACACAUUGAGAUCGGAUCACUGAAACCACAUUUGGAGGUGGUCAGGAAAGGAUUCUGACCACAUUCAAAGAAGGUAUAAAUGCAAAUGUGUUUUUGUUAUCUGGAAACAACUACAUAAGUGAUUAAUUAUGUAACGAUUUAUGUGUGCGAUACAGUCAACCAUUUUGUAAAGCACUGUGUUGUAGGUUCUUGCCUUUUCUGUUUAUUCGGCCAUCAAAAUGUGAAGAACACAACAGACACCGCUGUCUUGCAAUCUUGGCAUCCAAUUUAAUAAAAAAUAUCCCAUGAAUUACUACUUUGGAAUACACUUGGAAUAUCUUGUCUCUCUCCUCAAACCCCCACUUGCAUCUCUCUUCUGGUCUGUUUUCUAAUUACUGUGGCACAGGUGCAGCAUAUUUAGUACUCGACACAAGAUAAACA
Molecule: long non-coding RNA, 1284 nt
Organism: Myxocyprinus asiaticus (Chinese sucker)
Lineage: Eukaryota; Metazoa; Chordata; Actinopteri; Cypriniformes; Catostomidae
Exons: 3
Source: RefSeq, a predicted model, not a curated record